CCUACGGGGGGCAGCAGUCGAGAAUCAUUCACAAUGGGGGAAACCCUGAUGGUGCGACGCCGCGUGGGGGAAUGAAGGUCUUCGGAUUGUAAACCCCUGUCAUGUGGGAGCAAAUUAAAAAGAUAGUACCACAAGAGGAAGAGACGGCUAACUCUGUGCCAGCAGCCGCGGUAAUACAGAGGUCUCAAGCGUUGUUCGGAAUCACUGGGCGUAAGGCGUGCGUAGGCUGUUUCGUAAGUCGUGUGUGAAAGGCGCGGGCUCAACCCGCGGACGGCACAUGAUACUGCGAGACUAGAGUAAUGGAGGGGGAACCGGAAUUCUCGGGGUAGCAGUGAAAUGCGUAGAUAUCGAGAGGAACACUCGUGGCGAAGGCGGGUUCCUGGACAUUAACUGACGCUGAGGCACGAAGGCCAGGGGAGCGAAAGGGAUUAGAUACCCUUGUAGU
This 445-nucleotide ribosomal RNA is filed under the name uncultured bacterium. RNAcentral describes it as "partial 16S ribosomal RNA". It matches the Rfam family "Bacterial small subunit ribosomal RNA", at positions 338 to 794 of the family's 1533-position model. The record is from RNAcentral.